Molecule: long non-coding RNA, 1847 nt
Filed under: Triticum aestivum (bread wheat)
Lineage: Eukaryota; Viridiplantae; Streptophyta; Magnoliopsida; Poales; Poaceae
Description: long non-coding RNA (TAES_LNC003157)
Source: RNAcentral
UAUAUAUAUAUGCUGAAAAGAACAUUCUUCUACUCUUUCUUGAUGUAUGCUAUCGUAUAUUGCUUCUCUACUUGCUCAAAAUCAAAUUUGCAUCUAUGAAAAGUUAAGCAAUUAAGGCCAGUGAGAUGGCAGUAGAUUGGCAUGUUUACAGAAAAAACAAAUAGCCAUGCAAGUUUGAAAGAACAUCUUUUUACUAUUUCUUGCUAUAUGAAUAUUUCCCGUCUUCUUCCUUCGGAAUCAAAUGUGCGUCUACUAAAGGAUAAGAAAUUAAGGCUGCAAUCUAAGAAUAGAAUCAAAUGUGCAUCUACUAAAGGAUAAGAAAUUAAGGCUGCAAUCUAAGAAUACUUUUAUUUGCCAUUCUGAAUUUCUAUCACAGCACAGAGGAAUGAGGAAUGGAUAGAGGAGGCAUGGCGUAAGCGUAGGGGUCAGCCAGGGCAUGACGCAGGAGUCUGCCCAUCUCCUCUCAAAGUUAGUUCUUGCUCUUCUUGUCCCUACUACCUCGCCUGCCAACUCUCUGAUAGAGUAUUUUAUUUCUGCAAUGUAUUUUAUUCUUUGAAGAAAUUACAAUUUUUCAUAACUUCUUGGCAUACUAUGGAUCGAAUUCUUUAUGAGAACAAGCAAAUGAUGGUAGCAGUUCCAACAAGAAGAUACCAGACAUGUAAUAUCUUGAUAGAAGAGAAGAUCUACAUUUUAUUCAUGUGAAAAUUUAGGGUGGAUUUGUGUUUUUCAGAAAUGAGGCAACCUUACAUGUUAACAGUAAGUUGACUACCAGUUUAAAAGCUUACGUUUCCAAAGUGUUUCCUGGGAUACCCCCCCCCCCCACUCCCUCUCUCUUGAUUGAUAUAUCCAUAUAUCACAGGGGAAUGAUAGUUAAUUUUAACAGGGAUUGGUGGUUCAUCACAAUUUUUCUAGCUUCUUUUGUCCUCCAAAUGAUAUAGAAGGCAGUCAAGUUGCAUCCUCUAAUUUCUUGUGAUUUUUGUAGGACCUACUAUGAUGCAUAUUUGAAAGAGUGCAUCUAUUGUUUCAGCUGAAAAUUGAUCUCUAUUUGAAGGAGUGCAUCUAUUGUGCAUCUACACAAGAAGACAGUGUGCUGUUUUUUAUUCCAUGCUCCAAAUAUUUCAUGUCUGAUUCAUAGACAUCCUUGAAUUGGAUAAUGAUGAUGGCAUGUUUGGUGUUCAUAUUUUUGUCAGCCAAAUAAUAAUAGGUGCACUUGAUUGGUUGACGAAAUGCCAACUGAAAACUAAAUUCAGUUAGAAUUAGAUUUUUGCACGUGUGUUCUUGAUGCUUCAUGUACGACCAGUUCUCUCGAAUAAUGAGUUAGUCCCUCAAUUUUACAAUAGAGAUAAUUUGUCAAAAUUGUGUUUUUGUGAACAUGCAUGGGGCCUCUCAGUCUUUAACCCUGACGAUAAAAAUCCAUUGAUGGAAGCUGGGGAGGGCCGAGAUGAACAUCCAGCUCCCUGGGUCUAAGCCAUCGAGAUGGUAGAGAUGACGUUUCCAUGUCAUCUACUCUAGCAGCUGGACAAGGCAUAUAAAAACCAUGGAUUCUUGCUCUCCAGGCUGCAAAAUGAUCACAGUGACGUCUACGACCUCCUCCUAGAUGUAUUAAUCUCAAUCUCAUGUUUGGUUUUCUUCCCUUUUCUCUUCUAAUGAUGUAAUUUCUGUUACUAAGAUAACACCAUGUUUGUUGUAAUGCCUUAUUUGAUGUAAGAUCCCUUUUCUACUUUGAAUGAAUUUACUGCAUAUAUUUCUUAUUUAUUUUAGUUUAUCAUUCAGAGAUGAUGGAAUAUUUUUGUCCUUCAUAGGUUAAAUGAGCAUUGCGUAGUCCUUCACAUGUUAAAUGAGCAUUG